AGUUGAUUAUGGCUCAGGACGAACGCUGGCGGCGUGCCUAACACAUGCAAGUCGAGCGGGGAUGCAGGGAACGGAAGCUACGGCGGAAGGGAGCUGGAUUUCAGCGGCGGACGGGUGAGUAACGCGUGAACAAUCUGUCCCGGACAGGGGGAUAACACUUGGAAACAGGUGCUAAUACCGCAUAAGACCACAGCGCCGCAUGGCGGAGGGUCAAAGGAGAGAUCCGGUUCGGGGUGAGUUCGCGUCUGAUUAGCUAGUUGGUGAGGUAACGGCCCACCAAGGCGACGAUCAGUAGCCGACCUGAGAGGGUGAUCGGCCACAUUGGAACUGAGACACGGUCCAAACUCCUACGGGAGGCAGCAGGUGGGGAAUAUUGGGCAAUGGGCGAAAGCCCUGACCCAGCAACGCCGCGUGAGGGAAGUAAGGUUUUCGGAUUGUAAACCUCUGUUGUGGAUGACGAAGGAAGUGACGGUAAUCCACAAGGAACGCCCCGGCUAACUACGUGCCAGCCGCCGC
RNAcentral lists this ribosomal RNA (516 nucleotides) under uncultured bacterium. Its description in RNAcentral is "bacterial SSU rRNA". It matches the Rfam family "Bacterial small subunit ribosomal RNA", at positions 10 to 518 of the family's 1533-position model. The record is from RNAcentral.